RNAcentral lists this transfer RNA (69 nucleotides) under Nippostrongylus brasiliensis. It matches the Rfam family "tRNA". Rfam says of the family: Transfer RNA (tRNA) molecules are approximately 80 nucleotides in length. Their secondary structure includes four short double-helical elements and three loops (D, anti-codon, and T loops). Further hydrogen bonds mediate the characteristic L-shaped molecular structure. tRNAs have two regions of fundamental functional importance: the anti-codon, which is responsible for specific mRNA codon recognition, and the 3' end, to which the tRNAs corresponding amino acid is attached (by aminoacyl-tRNA synthetases). tRNAs cope with the degeneracy of the genetic code in two manners: having more than one tRNA (with a specific anti-codon) for a particular amino acid; and 'wobble' base-pairing, i.e. permitting non-standard base-pairing at the 3rd anti-codon position. The record is from Rfam by way of RNAcentral. Lineage: Eukaryota; Metazoa; Nematoda; Chromadorea; Rhabditida; Heligmosomidae.
GUCUCAGAAGCAUAGUUAGUGCACAGCCCCGGACAGGUUGAGGCGCGGGUUCGAAUCCCGCCUGAGAUG